This 253-nucleotide ribosomal RNA is filed under the name uncultured bacterium. RNAcentral describes it as "partial 16S ribosomal RNA". It matches the Rfam family "Bacterial small subunit ribosomal RNA", at positions 524 to 776 of the family's 1533-position model. The record is from RNAcentral.
UACGAAGGGGGCUAGCGUUGCUCGGAUUGACUGGGCGUAAAGGGCGCGUAGGCGGUUCGUACAGUCAGACGUGAAAUUCCUGGGCUCAACCUGGGGGCUGCGUUUGAUACGUGCGGACUUGAGUGCGGAAGAGGGUCGUGGAAUUCCCAGUGUAGAGGUGAAAUUCGUAGAUAUCGGGAGGAACACCGGUGGCGAAGGCGGCGACCUGGGUAGAUACUGACGCUGAGGUGCGAAAGCGUGGGGAGCAAACAGG